CCCUUAGAUGUUCUGGGCCGCACGCGUGCUACACUGAGUAAUUCAAUGGGUAAGGGAACGCUAGAGCAUUACCUAAUCUUGAAAUUUGCUCGUGAUGGGGAUCGACGGUUGCAAUUUUCCGUCGUGAACGAGGAAUACCUUGUAGGCGCAUGUCACCAUCAUGCGCCGAAUACGUCCCUGCCCUUUGUACACACCGCCCGUCGCUCCUACCGAUUGAGUGAUCCGGUGAGGCUCUGGGACCUGGACGGAAAGAGCGUUUCGCUUGUUCUGUUUGGGAAACUUGGUCGAACCUUAUCAUUUAGAGGAAGGAGAAGUCGUAACA
This 322-nucleotide ribosomal RNA is filed under the name uncultured eukaryote. Its description in RNAcentral is "partial 18S ribosomal RNA". It matches the Rfam family "Eukaryotic small subunit ribosomal RNA", at positions 1470 to 1796 of the family's 1831-position model. The record is from RNAcentral.